GCGUUCUCUUCAGCACAUAUACUAAAAUUGGAAAGAUAUAGAGAUUAGCACGGCCCCUGUGCAAGGAUGACACACAAAUUCAAGAAGCAUUUUGUUUGUUU
Molecule: small nuclear RNA, 101 nt
Filed under: Erinaceus europaeus (western European hedgehog)
Lineage: Eukaryota; Metazoa; Chordata; Mammalia; Eulipotyphla; Erinaceidae
Source: RNAcentral